CACAUGCAAGUCGAACGAGAGAGAAGGAGCUUGCUUCUUCGAUCGAGUGGCGAACGGGUGAGUAACGCGUGAGGAACCUGCCUCAAAGAGGGGGACAACAGUUGGAAACGACUGCUAAUACCGCAUAAGCCCACGGGUCGGCAUCGAUCUGAGGGAAAAGGAGUGAUCCGCUUUGAGAUGGCCUCGCGUCCGAUUAGCUAGUUGGUGAGGUAAUGGCCCACCAAGGCGACGAUCGGUAGCCGGACUGAGAGGUUGAACGGCCACAUUGGGACUGAGACACGGCCCAGACUCCUACGGGAGGCAGCAGUGGGGAAUAUUGCACA
This 323-nucleotide ribosomal RNA is filed under the name uncultured Bacillota bacterium. RNAcentral describes it as "bacterial SSU rRNA". It matches the Rfam family "Bacterial small subunit ribosomal RNA", at positions 52 to 370 of the family's 1533-position model. The record is from RNAcentral. Lineage: Bacteria; Bacillati; Bacillota.